This 184-nucleotide ribosomal RNA is filed under the name uncultured bacterium. RNAcentral describes it as "partial 16S ribosomal RNA". It matches the Rfam family "Bacterial small subunit ribosomal RNA", at positions 1317 to 1500 of the family's 1533-position model. The record is from RNAcentral.
UGCGUGAAGUCGGAAUCGCUAGUAAUCGCGGAUCAGCAUGCCGCGGUGAAUACGUUCCCGGGCCUUGUACACACCGCCCGUCACACCAUGAGAGUCGGGAACACCCGAAGUCCGUAGCCUAACCGUAAGGAGGGCGCGGCCGAAGGUGGGUUCGAUAAUUGGGGUGAAGUCGUAACAAGGUAGC